This 502-nucleotide ribosomal RNA is filed under the name uncultured bacterium. Its description in RNAcentral is "bacterial SSU rRNA". It matches the Rfam family "Bacterial small subunit ribosomal RNA", at positions 791 to 1288 of the family's 1533-position model. The record is from RNAcentral.
UAGUCCACGCCGUAAACGAUGUAUACUAGAUGCUGGAUCGCUUAAAGAUUCGGUGUCGGAGUUAACGCAUUAAGUAUACCGCCUGGGGAGUACGGUCGCAAGAUUAAAACUCAAAGGAAUUGACGGGGCCCGCACAAGCGGUGGAGCAUGUGGUUUAAUUCGAUGCAACGCGCAGAACCUUACCCAGCCUUGACAUCCUUCUGAUCGAUUCUAGAGAUAGAAUUUUCUUCUUCGGAAGCAGGAGUGACAGGUGCUGCAUGGCUGUCGUCAGCUCGUGUUGUGAGAUGUUGGGUUAAGUCCCGCAACGAGCGCAACCCUUGUCGUUAGUUGCCAUCAUUAAGUUGGGCACUCUAGCGAGACUGCCCGGGUUAACCGGGAGGAAGGCGGGGAUGACGUCAAGUCCUCAUGGCCCUUAUGGCUGGGGGCUACACACGUGCUACAAUGGGUCAAGACAAACUGAUGCGAAGUCGCGAGGGCUAAGCGAAUCAGAUAAACUUGAUCC